AGGUUAAGUUAACAAGGGCGCAUGGUGAAUGCCUUGGCACUAGGAGCCGAUGAAGGACGGGACUAACACCGAUAUGCUUCGGGGAGCUGUACGUAAGCUAUGAUCCGGAGAUUUCCGAAUGGGGCAACCCAGCAGUUUUAAUCAACUGUUACCACUAGAUGAAUUCAUAGUCUAGUUGGAGGUAAACGCUGUGAACUGAAACAUCUCAUUAGCAGCAGGAAUAUAAAGAAAUUUCGAUUCCCUAAGUAGCGGCGAGCGAACGGGGAACAGCCCAAACCAAAGUGCUUGCACUUUGGGGUUGUAGGACUGAACAUUUGAGUUACCAAAGAACUUGAUAGUCGAAGGAUUUGGGAAAAUCCGCCAUAGAUGGUGAUAGCCCAGUAGAUUAAAUCAAAUUCUCUCAGUUCAGGAUCCUGAGUACGGCGGAACACGUGAAAUUCCGUCGGAAUCCGGGAGGACCAUCUCCCAAGGCUAAAUACUACCUAGUGACCGAUAGUGAACCAGUACCGUGAGGGAAAGGUGAAAAGCACCCCGGGAGGGGAGUGAAAUAGUUCCUGAAACCAUGUGCCUACAAUAAGUCAGAGCGCGUUAAUGCGUGAUGGCGUGCCUUUUGUAGAAUGAACCGGCGAGUUAUGAUCCCGUGCAAGGUUAAGACUAAAAAGUCGGAGCCGUAGCGAAAGCGAGUCUGAAAUGGGCGUUUUGAGUACGAGGUUAUAGACCCGAAACCAGGUGACCUAUCCAUGUCCAGGUUGAAGGUGCGGUAAAACGCACUGGAGGACCGAACCCGUGUAAGUUGAAAAUUGCUGGGAUGAGGUGUGGAUAGCGGUGAAAUUCCAAACGAACUUGGAGAUAGCUGGUUCUCUCCGAAAUAGCUUUAGGGCUAGCCUCGGAAUUAGGAUCAUGGAGGUAGAGCACUAUUUGGACUAGGGGCCCGUCUUGGGUUACUGAAUUCAGAUAAACUCCGAAUGCCAUUGAUUCAUAUCCGGGAGUCAGACGAUGAGUGAUAAGAUCCACCGUCGAAAGGGGAACAGCCCAGACCAUCAGUUAAGGUCCCUAAAUGUAUGCUAAGUGGAAAAGGAUGUGGAGUUGCAUAGACAACUAGGAUGUUGGCUCAGAAGCAGCCACCAUUUAAAGAGUGCGUAAUAGCUCACUAGUCGAGUGAUCCUGCGCCGAAAAUGUACCGGGGCUAAGCAUACUACCGAAACCAUGGAUGCGACCAUUAGGUCGCGUGAUAGGAGAGCGUUCUAAGGGCAGUGAAGCAAGAUCGUGAGGACUUGUGGAGCGCUUAGAAGUGAGAAUGCCGGUAUGAGUAGCGAAAGAUAGGUGAGAAUCCUAUCCACCGAAUGACUAAGGUUUCCUGGGGAAGGCUCGUCCUCCCAGGGUUAGUCGGGACCUAAGUCGAGGCCGAGAGGCGUAGACGAUGGAUAACAGGUUGAGAUUCCUGUACUAGUUAAGUGCGUUUGAGCAAUGGAGGGACGCAGGAGGCUAAGAUGUGCAUUCUGUUGGAUUAGAAUGUCCAAGCAGUAAGUCUUGUGAAGAGUCAAAUGCUUUUCACUUUAAGGACAAGCUGUGAUGGGGAGCGAAAUUUAGUAGCGAAGCGUCUGAUGUCACACUGCCGAGAAAAGCUUCUAGUGAGUACUUAACUACCCGUACCGCAAACCGACACAGGUAGUCGAGGAGAGAAUCCUAAGGUGAGCGAGUGAACUCUCGUUAAGGAACUCGGCAAAAUGACCCCGUAACUUCGGGAGAAGGGGUGCUGAUCGCAAGAUCAGCCGCAGUGAAUAGGCCCAGGCGACUGUUUAUCAAAAACACAGGUCUCUGCAAAAUCGUAAGAUGACGUAUAGGGGCUGACGCCUGCCCGGUGCUGGAAGGUUAAAAGGAUGGGUUAGCUUCGGCGAAGCUCAGAAUUGAAGCCCCAGUAAACGGCGGCCGUAACUAUAACGGUCCUAAGGUAGCGAAAUUCCUUGUCGGGUAAGUUCCGACCCGCACGAAAGGCGUAACGAUCUGGGCACUGUCUCAACGAGAGACUCGGUGAAAUUAUAUUGUCCGUGAAGAUGCGGACUACCCGCGACAGGACGGAAAGACCCCAUGGAGCUUUACUGUAGCUUGAUAUUGAGUGUUUGUACAGCUUGUACAGGAUAGGUAGGAGCCAUAGAAACCGGAACGCUAGUUUCGGUGGAGGCGUUGGUGGGAUACUACCCUCGCUGUAUGACCACUCUAACCCGCACCACUAAUCGUGGUGGGAGACAGUGUCAGGUGGGCAGUUUGACUGGGGCGGUCGCCUCCUAAAAAGUAACGGAGGCGCCCAAAGGUUCCCUCAGAAUGGUUGGAAAUCAUUCGCAGAGUGUAAAGGCACAAGGGAGCUUGACUGCGAGACAGACAGGUCGAGCAGGGACGAAAGUCGGGCUUAGUGAUCCGGUGGUACCGUAUGGAAGGGCCAUCGCUCAACGGAUAAAAGCUACCCUGGGGAUAACAGGCUUAUCUCCCCCAAGAGUCCACAUCGACGGGGAGGUUUGGCACCUCGAUGUCGGCUCAUCGCAUCCUGGGGCUGUAGUCGGUCCCAAGGGUUGGGCUGUUCGCCCAUUAAAGCGGUACGCGAGCUGGGUUCAGAACGUCGUGAGACAGUUCGGUCCCUAUCCGUCGCGGGCGUAGGAAAUUUGAGAGGACCUGUCCUUAGUACGAGAGGACCGGGAUGGACAUACCUCUGGUGUACCAGUUGUGCCGCCAGGCGCAUCGCUGGGUAGCUACGUAUGGAUGUGAUAAACGCUGAAAGCAUCUAAGUGUGAAACACACCUCGAGAUGAGAUUUCCCAUUCCUUUAUGGAAGUAAGACCCCUGAAAGAUGAUCAGGUAGAUAGGUUAGAAGUGGCAGUGCGGUGACGCAUGAAGCGGACUAAUACUAAUCGGUCGAGGACUUAACCAAG
Molecule: ribosomal RNA, 2923 nt
Filed under: Lactiplantibacillus plantarum
Lineage: Bacteria; Bacillati; Bacillota; Bacilli; Lactobacillales; Lactobacillaceae
Description: Lactobacillus plantarum 23S ribosomal RNA
Rfam family: Bacterial large subunit ribosomal RNA
Source: RNAcentral